UUUUAUUUGAGAGUUUGAUCCUGGCUCAGGAUGAACGCUGGCGGCGUGCCUAACACAUGCAAGUUGAGCGAUUUACUUCGGUAAAGAGCGGCGGACGGGUGAGUAACGCGUGGGUAACCUACCCUGUACACACGGAUAACAUACCGAAAGGUAUGCUAAUACGGGAUAAUAUAUUUGAGAGGCAUCUCUUGAAUAUCAAAGGUGAGCCAGUACAGGAUGGACCCGCGUCUGAUUAGCUAGUUGGUAAGGUAACGGCUUACCAAGGCGACGAUCAGUAGCCGACCUGAGAGGGUGAUCGGCCACAUUGGAACUGAGACACGGUCCAAACUCCUACGGGAGGCAGCAGUGGGGAAUAUUGCACAAUGGGCGAAAGCCUGAUGCAGCAACGCCGCGUGAGUGAUGAAGGCCUUCGGGUCGUAAAACUCUGUCCUCAAGGAAGAUAAUGACGGUACUUGAGGAGGAAGCCCCGGCUAACUACGUGCCAGCAGCCGCGGUAAUACGUAGGGGGCUAGCGUUAUCCGGAUUUACUGGGCGUAAAGGGUGCGUAGGCGGUCUUUCAA
This 560-nucleotide ribosomal RNA is filed under the name Clostridioides difficile. Its description in RNAcentral is "bacterial SSU rRNA". It matches the Rfam family "Bacterial small subunit ribosomal RNA", at positions 1 to 586 of the family's 1533-position model. The record is from RNAcentral. Lineage: Bacteria; Bacillati; Bacillota; Clostridia; Peptostreptococcales; Peptostreptococcaceae.